This 192-nucleotide unclassified non-coding RNA is filed under the name uncultured fungus. RNAcentral describes it as "sequence contains ITS1". The record is from RNAcentral. Lineage: Eukaryota; Fungi.
UUUCGCAUUGUUUUUUCGCUCAGACUCAUUGCAAGCAAGAUUUUAAAGCCUCUGGCGGGCGCUCACCAGCCGGGGCCGGUGGCAGCAGGGCCGCGGCCCGCCAAAGCAACAGUAUUGGUAGUCAAGGGGUGGAGAUGGCUCCCGGAGGAGUGCAACUCUGUAAUGAUCCUUCCGCAGGUUCACCUACGAAAA